This 2280-nucleotide unclassified non-coding RNA is filed under the name Zea mays. Its description in RNAcentral is "misc RNA Zm00001eb193540". Lineage: Eukaryota; Viridiplantae; Streptophyta; Magnoliopsida; Poales; Poaceae. The record is from RNAcentral.
UUGUUCGACGACUACCGCGAUGAAGAUUUUUAUGGGCUACCGCGGAAAUACAGUAUUGUCGCUCGGGUAGAAGUUAAAUUCCCGAUUGAACCACGAUUUCGUGACAGACAACAUUUCGUUUUAUCUGACAUCAAUGGAGCCAAGAUCGAGGCCAUAACAUAUAUGUAUGAGACAGUCAAACAUUUCGACAAUUUGCUCCAUGAAAAGCAUGUUUACAAGAUGCAUAAUGUAAAGUUUAGUCUUCAUCCGGGUGAAUUUAAUUUUCGUCAUCUAAAUGGUCCCAUGGAAUUGUGUCUCAACCAACAAACUAUCGUGGAGCCAUACACUUUUCCAAUUCAAAUGGUGUCAUUCCCAAAACAAAUAUUCUUGAACCUUGCUGAUAUUGCUGAGUUGCCAAACAGGACUUUAGUCGACAUUAUGGCUAUUGUAGUCCACUUGGAUACAAUUCAUCGCACAAUGUGGGGCCCUUUCAGAAAGAUUGUUAUAAUGGAUGCUAGGGGGUCUUUACAUAUCAUUAAAGUUUGGGGUGACCUACUAAACAAAAAUGCACUCCGCUGGGCGUUGGCUAAGGAGGAUUAUGGCAUAAUAAUUGGGACUAUGUUUAGGCGGUUCAGAAGACAAGAUGGAGACGAAAAAAUAAAUGUGAAUCAAGAUGAUGAUAGCGAUUGGUUGCAUAGGAAUGAGACAUUCAAGGCAAACGAUGUUUUCACAAUGAGAGACCUUCUGACACCAGGCGGUGUGCAUGAAACGGUUGGUAACACGUCUAACCAUAAUUUGGAAAAGGCCGCCUACUUUAGAGAGCGGUACAAAAACUUAACUCUCGCCGAGAGGGAGUUUAGGCGUGAACGCCUUAGGUUGUACAAUAGUACACCAAAGCGUAAAGGGUCAAAGAUAGAGUACAUACGAAAACGUAGAGCACUGUUGGCUGACACAUUGAGUCAUGAGUCCAUCGCCAUGGAGUCCCCAACAUAUACCCCUGAGGUGUUUAUUCCGAUAAACAUCCGAGAGACGCACUGGUACCUUGCCAUGAUUCAUGCAAGAAAUAUGGAGAUACAAGUGCUCGAUUCACUUGGUACUUCACAAGACCGCAAAGACCUCACUGACUCUAUUAAAGGACUGCAAAGACAAAUUGAUAUGAUAUCUCAACGUAAGGAGUUAAAAGACCACAGGUGGCCAGACCUCCAAGUUGCUUCUUGGCCGCUCAGAGAAAUAGACAUGGGAUAUGCAAAGCAGACAGAUAGCUCUUCAUGUGGCCUCUUUAUUUUGAACUAUAUCGAAUACUGGACAGGGGAUGAAUUGUCUGACAGUUUUACCCAGGAAAAAAUGGCUGAUAUAUUACUAUCUUCAGACCUAAAUAAGAGAAGAGGGUGUCUGUUAUACAAAAAUGAAAAAGAAGUUAACUCUGGAAGCCCAUCAGAUGUUGAGAUAUUAGAAAACCCAACAGAUUCUAAUAAGAGGAAACUACUCCACAUGCUUGAUGAUAGCGAAGUAGUGUAUGAAGAUGAGGAAGGCCCUAUUACUCAAGCAGACUUGCAAAGGUGGUUUGUUGAUGAUUGGGAUAAAAGAGUUCCUGUAAAAGUCUCUACCGAUGGGUGCACCAAUGACUUUCUAAUGGUUGGUCUUUCUACAAAGGACAUGCCAGUGACCAAAGCCGAUUCAAUAGAUGUUUUAUGUGAUUAUAUCAUGGCAAUAAAAGACGAUGCAAUAUUAGAGAUGACAUGGGUGCGAAGUUUCAAUCCUUUUAAGAUAGAAAUAUCUGUCAAAGACCUGCAAAACAUAUUAACGAUAAAUCAAGAUAUGAUUCUAAGAUGUUUUGACAUGGAUGUUCGACUGCUUGCUAAUAAAGAGUCACGUAGGCCGAAAGAAGAAAUCAUAAAUAAUAGAAAGCAUUAUAUGGACAUGCGUUUUUGGAGAAUGGUUGGUUUUGGUAAACUUCCAAAGUACCAUCAGGAUCCUACAACAGAAGAGUUAGCCAAAACACUCGAUUGUUGGCCAUCAAUGAAUUAUUAUAUCACGGGUUGUAGAUAUGUUCUUAUGCCAUGGAAAUUCAAUGGAUGUCACGCCCUUUUCGUAAUAGAUCAUGUUAAAAAGCAUGUGACUUUUAUCGACUUUACACCGACUCAAGAUUGGUGUAAACACAUGCCAUACAAGAGGUUCGCGGAAGCGAUUAUCAUGGCCUCAAAAAAUAUAAGAUUGCUUACAGCAAGAAACGUUCUGGAUGGGCGGAGGAUAUCUUUAAGUGGGAACAUACAAUUCAGACUGGUGUUCCAAUUGACUUAA